GCCAGCAUUGCAUAGUGGUUUGAGUAUUGGACUAGGACUCUGGUGACCAGGGUUCGAUUCCCUAUUCAGCA
Phrynosoma platyrhinos (Desert horned lizard) is the source of this 71-nucleotide non-coding RNA. The record is from the annotation of a GenBank genome assembly. Lineage: Eukaryota; Metazoa; Chordata; Lepidosauria; Squamata; Phrynosomatidae.